This 188-nucleotide small nuclear RNA is filed under the name Dasypus novemcinctus (nine-banded armadillo). RNAcentral's name for it is "U2 spliceosomal RNA (ENSDNOG00000028059.2)". It matches the Rfam family "U2 spliceosomal RNA". From Rfam's summary of the family: U2 is a small nuclear RNA (snRNA) component of the spliceosome (involved in pre-mRNA splicing). Lineage: Eukaryota; Metazoa; Chordata; Mammalia; Cingulata; Dasypodidae. The record is from RNAcentral.
AUCAUUUCUCAGUCUUUUGGCUAAAAUCAAGUAUAGUAUCUGUUCUCAUCAGUUUAAUAUCUGAUAUGUCUUCUCACUGAUGACAAUAUCUUAAUGGAUUUUUGAAAAGGGAGAUGGAAUAGGAGAUUGUUCCAAACACUCCAGACAUUAACUGGAUGUUCAUUACUUCCAGGAACAGUGCACCACUU